AAGAAGGUGACAGAGUGGUUAUGUGACCGGCUUGAAACCGGAAUAUGGAGGUUCAAUUCCUCCCCUUCUCG
Molecule: transfer RNA, 71 nt
Filed under: Rasbora pauciperforata (red-stripped rasbora)
Lineage: Eukaryota; Metazoa; Chordata; Actinopteri; Cypriniformes; Danionidae
Description: tRNA-Ser
Rfam family: tRNA
About the family: Transfer RNA (tRNA) molecules are approximately 80 nucleotides in length. Their secondary structure includes four short double-helical elements and three loops (D, anti-codon, and T loops). Further hydrogen bonds mediate the characteristic L-shaped molecular structure. tRNAs have two regions of fundamental functional importance: the anti-codon, which is responsible for specific mRNA codon recognition, and the 3' end, to which the tRNAs corresponding amino acid is attached (by aminoacyl-tRNA synthetases). tRNAs cope with the degeneracy of the genetic code in two manners: having more than one tRNA (with a specific anti-codon) for a particular amino acid; and 'wobble' base-pairing, i.e. permitting non-standard base-pairing at the 3rd anti-codon position.
Source: RNAcentral